Molecule: ribosomal RNA, 276 nt
Filed under: uncultured bacterium
Lineage: Bacteria
Description: partial 16S ribosomal RNA
Rfam family: Bacterial small subunit ribosomal RNA
Source: RNAcentral
AUACGGAGGGUGCAAGCGUUAUCCGGAAUUAUUGGGUUUAAAGGGUCCGUAGGCGGCUAGAUACGUCAGUGGUGAAAUUCUCUCGCUCAACGAGAGACCUGCCAUUGAUACUGUCUUGGCUAGAGUUACAGUGAGGUGAGUGGAAUGUGUAGUGUAGCGGUGAAAUGCAUAGAUAUUACACAGAACACCGAUUGCGAAGGCAGCUCACUAACUGUAUACUGACGCUGAUGGACGAAAGCGUGGGGAGCAAACAGGAUUAGAAACCCUAGUAGUCCC